Molecule: ribosomal RNA, 445 nt
Filed under: uncultured bacterium
Lineage: Bacteria
Description: partial 16S ribosomal RNA
Rfam family: Bacterial small subunit ribosomal RNA
Source: RNAcentral
GUGAGGAAUAUUGCGCAAUGGAGGCAACUCUGACGCAGCCAUGCCGCGUGCAGGAAGAAGGCGCUACGCGUUGUAAACUGCUUUUAACCGGGAAGAAACCCCAGGACGUGUCCUGGGUUGACGGUACCGGAGGAAUAAGCACCGGCUAACUUCGUGCCAGCAGCCGCGGUAAUACGAAGGGUGCAAGCGUUAUCCGGAUUCAUUGGGUUUAAAGGGUGCGUAGGCGGAGCGUUAAGUCAGUGUUGAAAUCCUGCAGCUUAACUGUAGACUUGCCAUUGAUACUGGCGCUCUUGAGUGCGCUUGAAGUGGGCGGAAUGUGCCGUGUAGCGGUGAAAUGCUUAGAUAUGGCACAGAACACCAAUUGCGAAGGCAGCUCACUAAGGCGAUACUGACGCUGAGGCACGAAAGCGUGGGGAUCGAACAGGAUUAGAAACCCCGGUAGUCC